UACGUAGGUGGCAAGCGUUGUCCGGAAUUAUUGGGCGUAAAGCGCGCGCAGGCGGUCCUUUAAGUCUGAUGUGAAAGCCCACGGCUCAACCGUGGAGGGUCAUUGGAAACUGGGGGACUUGAGUGCAGAAGAGGAAAGCGGAAUUCCACGUGUAGCGGUGAAAUGCGUAGAGAUGUGGAGGAACACCAGUGGCGAAGGCGGCUUUCUGGGCCGAUACUGACGCUGAGGAGCGAAAGCGUGGGGAGCGAACAGG
This 253-nucleotide ribosomal RNA is filed under the name uncultured bacterium. RNAcentral describes it as "partial 16S ribosomal RNA". It matches the Rfam family "Bacterial small subunit ribosomal RNA", at positions 524 to 776 of the family's 1533-position model. The record is from RNAcentral.